This 440-nucleotide ribosomal RNA is filed under the name uncultured Anaeroplasma sp. RNAcentral describes it as "partial 16S ribosomal RNA". It matches the Rfam family "Bacterial small subunit ribosomal RNA", at positions 341 to 792 of the family's 1533-position model. Lineage: Bacteria; Bacillati; Mycoplasmatota; Mollicutes; Anaeroplasmatales; Anaeroplasmataceae. The record is from RNAcentral.
ACGGAAGGCAGCAGUAGGGAAUUUUCGGCAAUGGACGGAAGUCUGACCGAGCAACGCCGCGUGAACGAAGAAGUAUUUCGGUAUGUAAAGUUCUUUUAUUAGGGAAGAGAAGACAGAUUGACUGUACCUAAUGAAUAAGCUCCGGCUAACUACGUGCCAGCAACCGCGGUAAUACGUAGGGAGCGAGCGUUAUCCGGAAUUAUUGGGCGUAAAGGGUGCGCAGAUGGCACAUUAAGUUUCUUGUUAAAAUGCGGGGCUCAACCCCGUAUCGGAAGAGAUACUGAUGAGCUAGAGUACGAAAGAGGCAAGUGGAACUCCAUGGGUAGCGGUAAAAUGCGUAAAUAUAUGGAAGAACACCAGUGGCGAAGGCGGCUUGCUAGGUCGAUACUGACAUUGAGGGACGAAAGAGUGGGGAGCAAACAGGAUUAGAUACCCUGGUA